Molecule: unclassified non-coding RNA, 357 nt
Filed under: soil metagenome
Description: partial contains 5.8S ribosomal RNA, internal transcribed spacer 2, and large subunit ribosomal RNA
Rfam family: 5.8S ribosomal RNA (bases 1-120)
Source: RNAcentral
GAUGAAGAACGUAGCGAAAUGCGAUAAGUAAUGUGAAUUGCAGAAUUCAGUGAAUCAUCGAAUCUUUGAACGCACAUUGCGCCCGUCAGUAUUCUGGCGGGCAUGCCUGUUCGAGCGUCAUUACGCCCCUCAAGUCCCCUGUGGACUUGGUGUUGGGGAUCGGCGAGGCUGGUUUUCCAGCACGGCCGUCCCUUAAAUUAAUUGGCGGUCUCGCCGUGGCCCUCCUCUGCGCAGUAGUAAAACACUCGCAACAGGAGCCCGGCGCGGUCCACUGCCGUAAAACCCCCCAACUUUUUAUAGUUGACCUCGAAUCAGGUAGGACUACCCGCUGAACUUAAGCAUAUAAUAAGCGGAGGA